Molecule: non-coding RNA, 73 nt
Organism: Alligator sinensis (Chinese alligator)
Lineage: Eukaryota; Metazoa; Chordata; Crocodylia; Alligatoridae
Source: Rfam
GUCUUCUUAGUGCAGCCAGCAGUGUGUCAGUCUCAUAAUCUGAAGGUCCUGAGUUUGAGCCUCAGAGAAAGCA